Gallus gallus (chicken) is the source of this 1016-nucleotide long non-coding RNA. Lineage: Eukaryota; Metazoa; Chordata; Aves; Galliformes; Phasianidae. The record is from Ensembl.
CAGAAGAUGAAGCAAAUCAGUGAGGACAGAACGUGUCCCCUCUGCACUGUAAGAUCUCCUUACCUUCACUUCUCUGAAACGCUUUUUACGCAGAAUUUGAGACACUGAAGUAGAGGAAAACAUAGCUGUGAUUUCUCCCUGUUGUGUAUUUAAUGCAGUUCUCCAUGUAGAAAAGAUGAUUUCCCACGUUCUUUCCCUAUGCCUGUAACUGAGCGUUUUGUAUCAUAACUGCACUUGAUUUUCUAAGACAGAAGCUGUUAUGGCAAGACACUGAUCUCAUUCUUCCUCCAGAACGGUGAAAUUUGAAGCACAAAUAGGCCUUCUGCUAUUUGGGCAGAUACAAUAUGUACAAUGCAAGAUAUAUAAAAUGUGAGUAUACACAAUGCAUAUACAGUGUACAUUCUGAGAUCCAUAUUAUUAGUGUGUAUAUAUAUAAUGUAUUGUAUAAUGUAAUAAUAGUGUGUGUAUAUACUAUACAUGCCCACCUACUAUGCCUAGUAUAUAGUUACUUGUACUGUACAUAAGAUGUGUAUAUACAACAGAUAUGUAGAAUAUGCAUAUAUAUUCUAUAUAUUAACAUUUGUGUGUAUGUAUUCUCUAUAGAAAGAGGGACACAGAAAUGCAAUCUGUACAGAAACACAGCUGAGAUGACAGCCCUUAGAAUUUCAAAGUUCUGGUGAAAGAAAAGAAAGAGGAGGACUGACUGCUUUGAGUCAAUUUGCUUUGAGAUUUCUGUCGUUGGCAUGAGAAGCUGUGUUCACUCAUUGUGCCAAACGUGAGGGAGACCUGGCAGAAACUCACACCUGGAAGUGCUGAGGUGAACGAAGUCUCCUCAUUCCAAUUACACAGAUUGCACACAGUGCUCACCUGGACUUCAGUUCUCUUUUUCCUCCAUUUCCACCUGAGCUGCUCCUUCAGGAGGAACACCAAUAUGUUGGCUUUGGGGAAGGGAUGGAGGUGAUCCGACUUUCUUCUUGGGCAGAUGAUUGGACUGUGGUACACUGAGCCAAACAAAG